GUUCUUAGUUUGGAUGCUGGAUGGGGCAGGUGAACAUGACGGGUCCCCACAGGCAGCAGUGACAGCUGGGCCCUAUUUUUUUUUUUAGGGCCAGAUUUAGGAUUUACUAUCUGGAACACUGAAAAUGUGAUCAUCUGGGGCACAAGUCUUUCCUCUAUUUAUUCAGUAUAAUUCUAGACUAAGCAGAAGAGAAAGAAACAGUAGAUACUCCAUUCUGGACUGUACCUUGAACUAGAAAUUUUCAUAUUCAAAGCUGGAGGCCAUAUCACCACUGACCGGCAUAACAUAUUAUUCAUUUUGCAUAUAAGAAUCGAAAACAGGAUUGAGUCGGAUUGUGCCUUGUUUUUUUUUAUUGUACUUUAUUAAAUUUUUGUGGACAGCAGAAUGAUGAAGGCUUUGGAUGGGAUCUCUCAGAAGCAGCAAUACCUCUCCCGAACUGGGAUCCAGUUAGGUAUGACCCUGUAACUGAACAGGUGAUGAUGCUGUUUUAGCAUCUGUCAUCCUGAUCCUGACCGAUCAGGUGGUGCAGCCAAUAUGAGUUAAGUUAAAUAUUACUGCCUCAGAUACGAAUCACUGCUUUUGCCCACUUUAUAAAUGGACUCUGUGAAGUGCUGGAAUGUCAACACGCAUGCGCUGACCGCAGAUGCAACCUAAAGGGGUACUCCGGUGGAAAACUUUUUUUUUUUU
Long non-coding RNA from Hyla sarda, 687 nucleotides. RefSeq lists it as uncharacterized. The record is from RefSeq and is a predicted model, not a curated record. NCBI's taxonomy places the organism in Eukaryota, Metazoa, Chordata, Amphibia, Anura, Hylidae. The transcript has 3 exons.